Molecule: ribosomal RNA, 247 nt
Filed under: uncultured bacterium
Lineage: Bacteria
Description: partial 16S ribosomal RNA
Rfam family: Bacterial small subunit ribosomal RNA
Source: RNAcentral
AACGAACGCUGGCGGCGCGCCUAACACAUGCAAGUCGAGCGUGAAAGUGUAGCAAUACAUGAGUAAAGCGGCGCACGGGUGAGUAACGCGUAGGUGAUCUACCUUUGUGACCGGGAUAACCAGCCGAAAGGUUGGCUAAUACUGGAUAGAGCGCAUGACCUGUAAGGGUCGUGCGGAAAGGGUGGCCGUAGCAAUACGGCUACUGCACUGGAUGAGCCNGCGUCUCAUUAGCUAGUUGGUAGGGUAA